AUUGAACGCUGGCGGCAUGCCUUACACAUGCCAGUCGAACGGUAACGGGCCUUCGGGUGCCGACGAGUGGCGAACGGGUGAGUAAUACAUCGGAACGUGCCCGAUCGUGGGGGAUAACGAGGCGAAAGCUUUGCUAAUACCGCAUACGAUCUACGGAUGAAAGCAGGGGACCGCAAGGCCUUGCGCGGACGGAGCGGCCGAUGGCAGAUUAGGUUGUUGGUGGGAUAAAAGCUUACCAAGCCGACGAUCUGUAGCUGGUCUGAGAGGAUGAUCAGCCACACUGGGACUGAGACACGGCCCAGACGCCUACGGGAGGCAGCAGUGGGGAAUUUUGGACAAUGGGCGCAAGCCUGAUCCAGCCAUGCCGCGUGCAGGAUGAAGGCCUUCGGGUUGUAAACUGCUUUUGUACGGAACGAAAAGCCUUCUUUUAAUACAGGAGGGUCAUGACGGUACCGUAAGAAUAAGCACCGGCUAACUACGUG
Molecule: ribosomal RNA, 482 nt
Filed under: uncultured bacterium
Lineage: Bacteria
Description: partial 16S ribosomal RNA
Rfam family: Bacterial small subunit ribosomal RNA
Source: RNAcentral